Molecule: ribosomal RNA, 468 nt
Filed under: uncultured bacterium
Lineage: Bacteria
Description: partial 16S ribosomal RNA
Rfam family: Bacterial small subunit ribosomal RNA
Source: RNAcentral
GACGAACGCUGGCGGCGUGCUUAACACAUGCAAGUCGAACGGAAAGGCCCUGCUUUUGUGGGGUGCUCGAGUGGCGAACGGGUGAGUAACACGUGAGUAACCUGCCCUUGACUUUGGGAUAACUUCAGGAAACUGGGGCUAAUACCGGAUAGGAGCUCCUGCUGCAUGGUGGGGGUUGGAAAGUUUCGGCGGUUGGGGAUGGACUCGCGGCUUAUCAGCUUGUUGGUGGGGUAGUGGCUUACCAAGGCUUUGACGGGUAGCCGGCCUGAGAGGGUGACCGGCCACAUUGGGACUGAGAUACGGCCCAGACACCUACGGGCGGCAGCAGUGGGGAAUAUUGCACAAUGGGCGGAAGCCUGAUGCAGCAACGCCGCGUGCGGGAUGACGGCCUUCGGGUUGUAAACCGCUUUCGCCUGUGACGAAGCGUGAGUGACGGUAAUGGGUAAAGAAGCACCGGCUAACUACGUG